Molecule: ribosomal RNA, 278 nt
Filed under: uncultured bacterium
Lineage: Bacteria
Description: partial 16S ribosomal RNA
Rfam family: Bacterial small subunit ribosomal RNA
Source: RNAcentral
UGCCAGCAGCCGCGGUAAUACUGAAGGUACAAGCGUUAAUCGGAAUCACUGGGCGUAAAGCGCUCGUAGGUGGCUUUGUAAGUCAGAUGUGAAAGCUCCGAGCUCAACUCGGAAAAUGCAUUGAAUACUACUGGCUUGAGGAUCGGAGGGGAGACUGGAAUUCUCGGUGUAGCAGUGAAAUGCGUAGAUAUCGAGAGGAACACCAGUGGCGAAGGCGAGUCUCUGGACGAUUCCUGACACUGAGGCACGAAAGCUAGGGGAGCAAACAGGAUUAGAUA